This 78-nucleotide transfer RNA is filed under the name Polyangiaceae bacterium. RNAcentral describes it as "tRNA-Arg". It matches the Rfam family "tRNA". Rfam says of the family: Transfer RNA (tRNA) molecules are approximately 80 nucleotides in length. Their secondary structure includes four short double-helical elements and three loops (D, anti-codon, and T loops). Further hydrogen bonds mediate the characteristic L-shaped molecular structure. tRNAs have two regions of fundamental functional importance: the anti-codon, which is responsible for specific mRNA codon recognition, and the 3' end, to which the tRNAs corresponding amino acid is attached (by aminoacyl-tRNA synthetases). tRNAs cope with the degeneracy of the genetic code in two manners: having more than one tRNA (with a specific anti-codon) for a particular amino acid; and 'wobble' base-pairing, i.e. permitting non-standard base-pairing at the 3rd anti-codon position. Lineage: Bacteria; Pseudomonadati; Myxococcota; Polyangiales; Polyangiaceae. The record is from RNAcentral.
GCGCUCGUAGCUCAGUUGGAUUAGAGCAUCGGUCUACGGAACCGAGGGUCGGAGGUUCGAAUCCUUCCGGGCGCGCCA